This 223-nucleotide ribosomal RNA is filed under the name uncultured Bacteroidota bacterium. Its description in RNAcentral is "uncultured Bacteroidetes bacterium partial 16S ribosomal RNA". It matches the Rfam family "Bacterial small subunit ribosomal RNA", at positions 584 to 806 of the family's 1533-position model. The record is from RNAcentral. Lineage: Bacteria; Pseudomonadati; Bacteroidota.
UAAGUCGGAGGUGAAAUCCCACAGCUCAACUGUGGAACCGCCUUUGAUACUGGUAGUCUUGAGUUAUAUGGAAGUAGAUAGAAUGUGUAGUGUAGCGGUGAAAUGCAUAGAUAUUACAUAGAAUACCGAUUGCGAAGGCAGNUUACUACUUAUAUACUGACGCUGAUGGACGAAAGCGUGGGGAGCGAACAGGAUUAGAUACCCUGGUAGUCCACGCCGUAAA